AUCNGAUGAGUACACUUUAAAUCCUUUAACGAGUAUCCAUUGGAGGGCAAGUCUGGUGCCAGCAGCCGCGGUAAUUCCAGCUCCAAUAGCGUAUAUUAAAGUUGUUGCGGUUAAAAAGCUCGUAGUUGGACUUGUGUCCCACGCUGUCGGUUCACCGCCCGUCGGUGUUUAACUGACAUGUAUCGUGGGACGUCCUGCCGGUGGUGGCGAGUCGAAAGAUCGCGCCCCCGCGGUUCGCCGCGGGUAGGUGGCGGUCCGUAGGCGGACCCCGAUGAAAUCCUACCGCGGUGCUCUUAAACGAGUGUCGAGGUGGGCCGGCACGUUUACUUUGAACAAAUUAGAGUGCUUAAAGCAGGCCUGAUGCGCCUGAAUACUGUGUGCAUGGAAUAAUGGAAUAGGACCUCGGUUCUAUUUUGUUGGUUUUCGGAACCCGAGGUAAUGAUUAAUAGGGACAGUCGGGGGCAUUCGUAUUGCGACGUUAGAGGUGAAAUUCUUGGAUCGUCGCAAGACGGACCGAAGCGAAAGCAUUUGCCAAGUAUGUUUUCAUUAAUCAAGAACGAAAGUUAGAGGUUCGAAGGCGAUCAGAUACCGCCCUAGUUCUAACCAUAAACGAUGCCAGCUAGCGAUCCGCCGAAGUUCCUCCGAUGACUCGGCGGGCAGCUCCCGGGAAACCAAAGCUUUUGGGUUCCGGGGGAAGUAUGGUUGCAAAGCUGAAACUUAAAGGAAUUGACGGAAGGGCACCACCAGGAGUGGAGCCUGCGGCUUAAUUUGACUCAACACGGGAAACCUCACCAGGCCCGGACACUGGAAGGA
This 813-nucleotide ribosomal RNA is filed under the name Anostostomatidae gen. A sp. Anost_F2264. RNAcentral's name for it is "SSU rRNA". It matches the Rfam family "Eukaryotic small subunit ribosomal RNA", at positions 509 to 1239 of the family's 1831-position model. Lineage: Eukaryota; Metazoa; Arthropoda; Insecta; Orthoptera; Anostostomatidae. The record is from RNAcentral.